GACGAACGCUGGCGGCGUGCUUAACACAUGCAAGUCGAACGGAAAGGCCCUGCUUUUGUGGGGUUCUCGAGUGGCGAACGGGUGUGUAACACGUGAGUAACCUGCCCUUGACUGUGGGAUAACUUCAGGAAACUGGGGCUAAUACCGGAUAGGAGCUCCUGCUGCAUGGUGGGGGUUGGAAAGUUUCGGCGGUUGGGGAUGGUCUCGCGGCUUAUCAGCUUGUUGGUUGGGUAGUGGCUUACCAAGGCUUUGACGGGUAGCCGGCCUGGGAGGGUUGCCGGCCACAUUGGGACUGAGGUACGGCCCAGUCUCCUACGGGAGGCAACAGUGGGGAAUCUUGCACAAUGGGGGGGAGCCUGAUGCAGCAACGCCGCGUGCGGGAUGACGGCCUACGGGUUGUAAACCGCUUUCGCCUGUGACGAAGCGUGAGUGACGGUAAUGGGUAAAGAAGCAACGGCUAACUACGUG
Molecule: ribosomal RNA, 468 nt
Filed under: uncultured bacterium
Lineage: Bacteria
Description: partial 16S ribosomal RNA
Rfam family: Bacterial small subunit ribosomal RNA
Source: RNAcentral